GGGAUCUAUGAGCUGACACCUAAUGAUAUGGUUUAACAAGUAAAAUGUAGGUUGGUGAUAUUUUGAGAUAUUAAUGCAUGCUUAUUCCCUCCUGUAUGUUCUUCUUCUUCUCUUCCCAUAUUAGCGGGUAGCACGGACAGGACAGAAAAGAAACACCUUACAAGAAGGCUGGCUGCUACAGUAAUAUUUAUAAUGACUCUUAUUAGUAGACUCUAAAUCCUUAGGAGGAGGGGCUUGCAGCAUCUCGACAGAAACAGGAAAGGAAAGGCUUUGGUUGCCUCUGAGGAGACUUCCCAGGCUGGACCUGAGCUGACACAGCUGCGUGUGUUCCUGUCUCCCCAUCCGACCCUCAGCUCCGUGAGAGCACUGACUUGGUCUUUUUUAUCCUCUACUCUGACCCCAACAUCUAGAAUAGUGCCUGAGGCAAAGCUGACAAUAAAUAUAUGUUAAAUGAAUUAAUAUAUGAGGAGGAGGCAAGAGAGAGAAAAAAGGACAUUGAGAGAGGACAGACUUCAGAGCCUUGGAGAAGGAGCCAAGAAGCUGCCCUGCAGGACAAGCUGGCAGGAAUGUAAGCUUCAUGACGGCCGGGAAUUUGGUCUCACCGCUGUCACUUCUAGAACUGCACCGUCCAGUAUUGUAGCUACUAGCCACGUGUGGGUAGUGAGAAGCUGAAAAAUGACUGUCUCAAAUCAAAAUACACCAUAAGUGUAAAACACACAUGGAAUUUUAAGGACUUAGUAUUAAAAGAAAAAUGUAAAAUAACUCACUGAUAAUUUAUUACACUGGUUAUAUGUUAAAAUGAUAUUUGGUACAUAUUGGGUUAUAUAAAAUAUAUUAUUUAAAUGUAUUUCUCUUUUUUUAUAAACAAAUUGUGGUCUGCAAUGUGUGUGUUUAUGUGUGUGUGCCCGUGUGUGUGUGUGUGUGUGUGUAUCAGAUAGCACUGAUCUAAAAGAAAUGUCAGUGAACUUUUUCUGUAAAAGAUCAAAUAGUAAAUAUCUUAGGCUU
RNAcentral lists this long non-coding RNA (1005 nucleotides) under Callithrix jacchus (white-tufted-ear marmoset). RNAcentral's name for it is "lncRNA (ENSCJAG00000068066.2)". Lineage: Eukaryota; Metazoa; Chordata; Mammalia; Primates; Cebidae. The record is from RNAcentral.